RNAcentral lists this transfer RNA (77 nucleotides) under Chryseobacterium sp. CBo1. RNAcentral describes it as "tRNA-Arg". It matches the Rfam family "tRNA". Rfam says of the family: Transfer RNA (tRNA) molecules are approximately 80 nucleotides in length. The record is from RNAcentral. Lineage: Bacteria; Pseudomonadati; Bacteroidota; Flavobacteriia; Flavobacteriales; Weeksellaceae.
GAUCUCGUAGCUCAAUUGGAUAGAGCAUGGGUUUUCUAAACCCAGGGUUACAGGUUCGAUUCCUGUCGAGGUCACGA